Molecule: long non-coding RNA, 1625 nt
Organism: Mesoplodon densirostris (Blainville's beaked whale)
Lineage: Eukaryota; Metazoa; Chordata; Mammalia; Artiodactyla; Ziphiidae
Exons: 5
Source: RefSeq, a predicted model, not a curated record
GGGGAACAGCGUGAAUGCCCUUCCUCUCCCGGCCUUUUCCUCCCGGCAGUUACGACAGGCCAUUAGAGGUUAUUUACAUUCAAUAGUUACACCUGACACACCUGUAAAGUCUUCUAAUUUUCAUGAAAUGUUGUCUUCAAUCCACUCUUCUGUAGAAGCAAAGGAGCAAUCUCCAGCACCCUUGUGGGAUCUCUGUUCCCUGACCAGGGAUCAAAGCCGGGCCCCUGGCAAUGAGAGUGAUGAGUCCUAACCACUGGACUGCCAGGGAAUUCCCUAUUUUCGAGGGAAACUAAUAAGGUUAACAUUACUUGGUGUCAGAAGAGGGAUCCGAAGAUGAACCCCUGAAGAAUUAAUGAUCCCUGGAAUCAUGCACGGUACCUGCUUGAUCCCCUUGUGCUCCCCACUUCCAUUUGGUUCGGCAUGUUGAACAGCAGUUGCUGAAGUGAUUGUGAUGAAAUGUGACCUUUGAAGACUGUGGCCACUGACCAAAGAAUCUGAACUACAGUAUCCAACAUUUUACAGGCUACAAAACAGAAGCUGGCCAGCAUUUAUUGCUUGUACUAACAGCUUGAGUCAGGUUUCCUAAGCCUACAGAGAAGACCUCUUACUGCUGCUAAUUUUACUAUCAGCAAAGAAAAGGGAAAUAGGAGACCGUAUGGAAUGGCUGAAUGAGAGCAUUUGUGAGAGCAGUAUGAAUUCGGAUUAUCUGAAGGAGGGCAACUUUUUCCUAAAACUAAAAAGGACUCAAUUUGCAUAGAAAUAAAGUGGGAAAAAAUGUAAUGUAGAAAAAGUUAUAAGCAGAGAUUCUGCUCUGGCCUCUCAGGAUGGCAUUGAUUUACAUAUUAAGGCAGUCACCAGGGAAAUGUUAAAAACCCUCUAGGGAAAUUUCCAAUGUGAUGGAUAGAACUUUAAUAUUAAUAUAGGAUUCAUCAUGAUAAUGUAAGUCAUAGAUCUAAGUCUCCCUUCAUCAAAUGAAUAGUCCCUUUCCAGCCUAUUAUACAGGCAGCACAUGCUUUAAAUAGUGUCAUGUGGGAGACUUGAAGUCUUUCUUUACCUGCAGUUUCUGAAGUUUUGUUCACAGGAAUAGUGACCCACCGGGUCAUCCAUCUUUAAUUACGUCAUCUAGACCAUUUGCAUUUUCCCCUUUUUAUUAAUAUUUAGUGUUCCUUAAAAUAUACUUCCAUCGUACUUUUCUUCACAAAUAGAAAAAGCAUAAUUCAACACAUACUAUUUCAUACACGCAGUGAGUAUGAAGGGAAGAUCUGAUUCUUAAUCUAUUUGUUGAUCAUUAUACAAGGAAAAAAGUGAUUUCUGGGCUGCUAUUUGAUUUAGUUAUCUAGUACAUAAUUAUCAUAAUUAUCAACCAUAUGCAUGUGUAUUGUUCAUCUUACUCUGGGUUUCCUAGUCUUCUAACACUGACACCCCACAAAAUGGUGGCUGAGUCUCUCUAGAAUCCUAUAAGACAAUGACAGUCUUUUUGGAAUGAGAAUGAUUGCAGUGUUGAUACCAAUAUAAUAAAUGCCAGUAAUAAUAAAUGUUAAGAUUCAUCUGCUGCUUUUUUCAGCAGAAAUUCGAAUAUUCAUUAGUGGAGCAUAUAAUUACCUUUUCUUACCUUAGCCCAAAAC